CUUGAAUUGGCUUGGCUGGGGAAUAAGUGAGCCCACAUAGGGGAAGAUGGCACACAGUGUGCUCGACAAACGGUGCUAGGUCCAUGCCCAGGAUCCAAGUCUGAGAACCCUGGGGCCUCUGAAGCCGAGUGUGUGAACUUCACCACUACACUACCAGUGUCAUGAAAUUUCUCGAAGAAUUCCGUUAAUGUUAAAGGUUUUUUGCCCGUGUCACUUCUUCUGAGACAUCUUCAACCUUUCAUCACAACCACUUUCUUUAUUUAUGUUGGUCUACUUCAGUGAGCCAAGGGAAGAAAAGGAUGGAAAAGUAGCAGACUGGAAAAAGUCCUGAAGGAAGGACAGCUUUUACUCCCACACAGGAGAUCAAUAGCUAUAGAAGUGCCAUGGAGUCAUGGACUCUUUUCUUCUUCAUGAAUCUAGGCAAAUCUUCUUUUUAAACUUUGUUGUUGUUUUUAUCUGCUGAUCGAAACUGCUUCAGGAUUUCCUGUGGCCUGCUUUAUCUCCUUAGAGUCCUUUCUUGUAAGUUUUAAUUUGCAAAAAUCACAUUUUUUUAAAUUAAAAAAUAUCUACAUUUUAAAAAUAUACCAUGUCUGUGUUUUCUAAACACUAUAUCCAAACCAAGGCAAAACUAAAGAAUGGAAUCCUUGGAAUUCUUUUAAUCCCAUUUGCUUUUCCUUAAAUUCAGCCUCCUCAUUUAAGUUGUGGCAUAUUAUUUUUCUUAUAAUUAUUGCU
This 732-nucleotide long non-coding RNA is filed under the name Equus asinus (donkey). RNAcentral's name for it is "lncRNA (ENSEASG00005028495.1)". Lineage: Eukaryota; Metazoa; Chordata; Mammalia; Perissodactyla; Equidae. The record is from RNAcentral.